Picea glauca (white spruce) is the source of this 129-nucleotide non-coding RNA. NCBI's taxonomy places the organism in Eukaryota, Viridiplantae, Streptophyta, Pinopsida, Pinales, Pinaceae. The record is from Rfam.
UCUUGUGUACAUGCCUAUAGCAUAACAUUAAUUCAUAAGAUCUCAUUAGAACUCCGUAGUUAAGCAUGCUCAGGCUAGGGUAGUACUGGGAUGGGUGAUUGCUUGGGAAGUCAUAGUGUUUUACAUGGC